AUGGAAAGAGCUGGAACUGGGAAUGGGAAUGGGGAGAGCUGGGAAUGGGGAGAGCUGGGAAUGGGACUGGGAAUGGGGAGAGCUGGGAAUGGGAAUGGGGAGAGCUGGGAAUGGGAAUGGGGAGAGCUGGAACUGGGAAUGGGGAGAGCUGGAACUGGGAAUGGGAAUGGGGAGAGCUGGAACUGGGAAUGGGAAUGGGCAGAGCUGGGAAUGGGAAUGGGGAGAGCUGGGAAUGGGAAUGGGAAUGGGGAGAGCUGGGAAUGGGAAUGGGAAUGGGAAUGGGGAGAGCUGGGAAUGGGAAUGGGAAUAGCUGGGAAUGGGAAUGGGAAUGGGAAUAGCUGGGAAUGGGAAUGGGAAUGGGAAUGGGAAUGGGAAUGGGAAUGGGGAGAGCUGGGAAUGGAACUGGGAAUGGGGAGGGAUGGGAAUGGGGAUGGGAAUGGGGAGGGAUGGGAAUGGGAAUGGGGAGAGCUGGGAAUGGAACUGGGAAUGGGGAGAGCUGGAACUGGGAAUGGGGAGGGAUGGGAAUGGGAAUGGGGAGAGCUGGGAAUGGGAAUGGAGAGAGCUGGGAAUGGGAAUGGAGAGAGCUGGGAAUGGGACUGGGAAUGGGGAGGGAUGGGAAUGGGACUGGGGAGGGAUGGGAAUGGGAAUGGGGAUGGGGAUGGGGAGAGCUGGAGCUGGGAAUGGGAAUGGGGAGAGCUGGAACUGGGACUGGGAAUGGGGAGGGAUGGGAAUGGGAAUGGGGAGAGCUGGGAAUGGGAAUGGGGAGAGUUGGGGCUGGGAAUGGGAAUGAGAAUGGGAAUGGGGAGAGCUGGAACUGGGAAUGGGCAGAGCUGUGUUGGGGUUCCAGUCACAGCCAGGAUGGAAUUCCCAAUUCCCACCCAAAUCCAGGGAAGCAGCUGGAAAAAGCCUCGUAUUCCCCACGCCCUGGGAUUGGGCAGGACCCCAAAUCCCACCCAGCGCCCCAAACCCCUCCAGCCCAGCCCCGGGCGCUUCCCAGCAUCCAGAGGCUCCCAAUGGGAUUUUCUGUGGGAUUUUUGCUGGAAGUGUCUCCAUCCCCUCCUUCCUUCCCCUGGAGCUGCUCCAGCCUUGGGCACGAAAGAAAAAAAGACGGAAGUUGUUCCGAACACUGGGGACAAUGGCAGGAAAUUCGGGAUGGGGCUGGCACUGCGGGAAGUGCCUCAGGAAAAUCCCAAAGGAUUCGGGGCCUGGCAGCUCCCUCGGCUCCCAAAUUCCCACCCCAUCCUUUGUUUGCCCCAAGGGAACCCCAGGAUUUCCCAGCUCCCAUUCCUGCUGUUCCCAAAGCUGGAAUUCCAGGAUUUUCCAGCUGUAUUCCUGCUGUUCCCAAAGCUGGAAUUCCAGGAUUUUCCAGCUGUAUUCCUGCUUUUCCCAAAACUGGAAUUCCAGGAUUUUCCAGCUGUAUUCCUGCUUUUCCCAAAGGGAACACCGGGAUUUCCCAGCUCCCAUUCCCGCUGUUCCCAAAGCUGGAAUUCCAGGAUUUUCCAGCUGUAUUCCUGCUUUUCCCAAAGGGAACCCCAGGAUUUUCCAGCCCCAAUUCCCGCUGUUCCCAGACCCAGAACCCCAGGAUUUUACCCCAGGAUUUUUCCCUGGAUUAUCCCAUUUUUCCCUCCCAGGUACAUGGCCAUCACCCAUCUGGCCAUGUUCCUGAUGUUCCCAGACCCAGAACCCCGGGAUUUUCCAUCCCUAAUUCCCACUGUUCCCAGACCCAGAACCCCAGGAUUUUACCCCAGAAUUUUCCCCCAGGAUUAUCCCGUUUUCCCUUCCCAGGUACAUGGCCAUCAUCCAUCUGGCCAUAUUCCUGUUGUUCCCAAACCCAGAACCUCAGGAUUUUCCAGCCCCAAUUCCUGCUCUUCCCAAACCCAGAACCCUGGGAUUUUCCAUCCCAAAUUCCCGCUGUUCCCAGACACAGAACCCCAGGAUUUUCCAGCCACAAUUCCCACUGUUCCCAGACCUAGAACCCCAGGAUUUUACCCCGGAUAUUCCCAUUUUCCCUCCCAGGUACAUGGCCAUCAUCCAUCUGGCCAUGUUCCCGCUGUUCCCAGACCCAGAACCUCAGGAUUUUCCAGCCCCAAUUCCUGCUCUUCCCAAACCCAGAACCCGGGAUUUUCCAUCCCCAAUUCCCGCUGUUCCCAGACCCAGAACCCCAGGAUUUUACCCCAGGAUAUUCCCAUUUUUCCCUCCCAGGCACAUGGCCAUCAUCCAUCUGGCCAUAUUCCUGCUGUUCCCAGACCCAGAACACAGGGAUUUUCCAUCCCUAAUUCCCACUGUUCCCAAAGAUGA
RNAcentral lists this long non-coding RNA (2298 nucleotides) under Zonotrichia albicollis (white-throated sparrow). RNAcentral describes it as "lncRNA (ENSZALG00000004287.1)". The record is from RNAcentral. Lineage: Eukaryota; Metazoa; Chordata; Aves; Passeriformes; Passerellidae.